CCAGCUUAGUGGCAGAGCAUCUGCCUUUCAUGCAGAAGGUCUCAAGUUCAAUCCCCAGCAUAGGGG
Podarcis lilfordi (Lilford's wall lizard) is the source of this 66-nucleotide non-coding RNA. Lineage: Eukaryota; Metazoa; Chordata; Lepidosauria; Squamata; Lacertidae. The record is from the annotation of a GenBank genome assembly.